GUGGAUUAGAUACCCUGGUAGUCCACGCCGUAAACGAUGGAUGCUAGCCGUUGGACAGCUUGCUGUUCAGUGGCGCAGCUAACGCAUUAAGCAUCCCGCCUGGGGAGUACGGUCGCAAGAUUAAAACUCAAAGGAAUUGACGGGGGCCCGCACAAGCGGUGGAGCAUGUGGUUCAAUUCGAAGCAACGCGCAGAACCUUACCAACCCUUGACAUGUCCAGUAUGGGUUUCAGAGAUGAGACCCUUCAGUUCGGCUGGCUGGAACACAGGUGCUGCACGGCCGUCGUCAACU
Molecule: ribosomal RNA, 291 nt
Filed under: uncultured bacterium
Lineage: Bacteria
Description: partial 16S ribosomal RNA
Rfam family: Bacterial small subunit ribosomal RNA
Source: RNAcentral